CUUAGUUCUUCCUUAUAAAAUUUUCCUUUAGAUUUUUUUUUAUAAGUUAAUUUUUCCUUCUGUAGUUUGUUUUUUUGGUUUAGAUUACCGAGAAAGGUAGCGUUUACAGGGUUUUUUAAAUAGAUCAAGAUGUUAGAGCAGUUGCUGAUAUUCACUAGGGGGGGUUUGAUCCUAUGGACUUGUAAGGAGCUUGGAAAUGCACUUAGAGGCUCUCCUAUUGACACUUUAAUCAGAUCCUGUCUUUUAGAGGAACGAUCAGGUGCGGCAUCUUAUAAUUAUGAUGCUCCAGGUGCUGCUUACACCCUCAAGUGGACCUUCCACAAUGAGCUUGGCCUUGUAUUCGUUGCGGUGUAUCAAAGGAUUCUUCAUUUAUUGUAUGUGGAUGAUUUGCUUGCAAUGGUGAAGCAAGGGUUUUCUGAG
RNAcentral lists this unclassified non-coding RNA (420 nucleotides) under Hevea brasiliensis (rubber tree). Lineage: Eukaryota; Viridiplantae; Streptophyta; Magnoliopsida; Malpighiales; Euphorbiaceae. The record is from RNAcentral.